RNAcentral lists this ribosomal RNA (254 nucleotides) under uncultured bacterium. RNAcentral's name for it is "partial 16S ribosomal RNA". It matches the Rfam family "Bacterial small subunit ribosomal RNA", at positions 524 to 776 of the family's 1533-position model. The record is from RNAcentral.
UACGUAGGGGGCAAGCGUUGUCCGGAUUUAUUGGGCGUAAAGAGCUCGUAGGCGGCUUAGAAAGUCAGGUGUGAAAACUCUGGGCUUAACCCAGAGACGCCACUUGAUACUUCUAUGGCUUGAGUUCGGUAGGGGACCAUGGAAUUCCUGGUGUAGCGGUGAAAUGCGCAGAUAUCAGGAGGAACACCGAUGGCGAAGGCAGUGGUCUGGGCCGAUACUGACGCUGAGGAGCGAAAGCGUGGGGAGCGAACAGG